This 240-nucleotide ribosomal RNA is filed under the name Streptomyces bikiniensis. RNAcentral's name for it is "partial 16S ribosomal RNA". It matches the Rfam family "Bacterial small subunit ribosomal RNA", at positions 382 to 634 of the family's 1533-position model. The record is from RNAcentral. Lineage: Bacteria; Bacillati; Actinomycetota; Actinomycetes; Kitasatosporales; Streptomycetaceae.
CCUGAUGCAGCGACGCCGCGUGAGGGAUGACGGCCUUCGGGUUGUAAACCUCUUUCAGCAGGGAAGAAGCGCAAGUGACGGUACCUGCAGAAGAAGCGCCGGCUAACUACGUGCCAGCAGCCGCGGUAAUACGUAGGGCGCAAGCGUUGUCCGGAAUUAUUGGGCGUAAAGAGCUCGUAGGCGGCUUGUCACGUCGGGUGUGAAAGCCCGGGGCUUAACCCCGGGUCUGCAUCCGAUACG